GUGACCUGCGGAAGGAUCAUUACAGAAUGAAAAGUGCUUAACUGCAUUUUUUCUUACACAUGUGUUUUUCUUUUUUUGAAAACUUUGCUUUGGUAGGCCUUCUAUAUGGGGCCUGCCAGAGAUUAAACUCAACCAAAUUUUAUUUAAUGUCAACCGAUUAUUUAAUAGUCAAAACUUUCAACAACGGAUCUCUUGGUUCUCGCAUCGAUGAAGAACGCAGCGAAAUGCGAUAAGUAAUAUGAAUUGCAGAUAUUCGUGAAUCAUCGAAUCUUUGAACGCACAUUGCGCCCUUUGGUAUUCCAAAGGGCAUGCCUGUUUGAGCGUCAUUUCUCCCUCAAACCCUCGGGUUUGGUGUUGAGCGAUACGCUGGGUUUGCUUGAAAGAAAGGCGGAGUAUAAACUAAUGGAUAGGUUUUUUCCACUCAUUGGUACAAACUCCAAAACUUCUUCCAAAUUCGACCUCAAAUCAGGUAGGACUACCCGCUGAACUUAAGCAUAUCAAUAAGCGGAGGAAAA
Molecule: ribosomal RNA, 515 nt
Filed under: Lodderomyces parapsilosis
Lineage: Eukaryota; Fungi; Ascomycota; Pichiomycetes; Serinales; Debaryomycetaceae
Description: eukaryotic LSU rRNA
Rfam family: 5.8S ribosomal RNA (bases 173-326)
Source: RNAcentral